This 373-nucleotide ribosomal RNA is filed under the name uncultured organism. Its description in RNAcentral is "partial 16S ribosomal RNA". It matches the Rfam family "Bacterial small subunit ribosomal RNA", at positions 527 to 896 of the family's 1533-position model. The record is from RNAcentral.
GAACCGUCCAAACGUUAUUCGGAAUCAUUGGGCUUAAAGGGUGCGUAGGCGGUGUGGUCAGUUGGGUGUGAAAUCCCUCGGCUCAACCGAGGAACUGCGCCCAAUACUGCCAUACUCGAGGGAGACAGAGGUAAGCGGAACUGAUGGUGGAGCGGUGAAAUGCGUUGAUAUCAUCAGGAACACCAGUGGCGAAGGCGGCUUACUGGGUCUCUUCUGACGCUGAGGCACGAAAGCUAGGGGGGAGCGAACGGGAUUAGAUACCCCGGUAGUCCUAGCUGUAAACGAUGAGCACUUGAUCGGAGACUCCCUCCAUAGGUUUCCGGUCGUAGCGAAAGUGUUAAGUGCUCCGCCUGGGAGUAUGGUCGCAAGGCUG